Molecule: long non-coding RNA, 480 nt
Organism: Xiphophorus hellerii (green swordtail)
Lineage: Eukaryota; Metazoa; Chordata; Actinopteri; Cyprinodontiformes; Poeciliidae
Exons: 5
Source: RefSeq, a predicted model, not a curated record
AAGCGAUGGCUGCUGCGCUAAAGGAGUCACUUUGCAUCUCUCCAAACUGGCACACUUGACUCCAAAGCAUUGGCUUAUUCCUUAUGCCACCCGACUGCCAAUUCAUGUUACUAUGCCACUGGAGUUGGAAACUGCCGACGCUAUCAUUGAUCCUCAGAGGAGGAACUCUGGACAAUGACUUGGCAUUCAUUCACAGACUUGAGUCUUUCCCUAGCCUUGUUCCAGUGACAGUGCCAGGCAGAAAAUUCAACUGAGUGGAAAAAAAUGAGAACAAGAUGGAGAGGAAUGAAAGACAACAGUCAAACUGCUGCCAUUCAAAGUCCACCUCAGUUUCUGCCUUCUCGCGUGACUCCGGCUCCGUGCAAAGCGAGUGCAGGUGUUUACUGUAAGGAGGAGAAGAAAGGACGAGAACGUCAGCGGCCUCCUCACAGCCUGGAUGGCAGAUGGAGAAGAGCAGAAAUACAGAAACUCCAAGCAGAA